AAAGACGUGUGACUACUUUGAGAUCAACAUGCUGUGAGAAGCCCAAACUGCAUAGAGGGACAGGAACAAUGAGAUGCCGGGUGGAGAGAGGCCAAAGAGCAGGAAGGUGCUACAUUUGUGACAGUCUCUUCUUGGAGCCUUAGGCAAGGAUAUAAGCUGUUGUUGAGUGAAAAGCAUAUGACAGGAUCCUAGAAAGGCUUCAUGCCCAGCAUGGAGCCCAACACAGGGU
Molecule: long non-coding RNA, 229 nt
Organism: Lynx canadensis (Canada lynx)
Lineage: Eukaryota; Metazoa; Chordata; Mammalia; Carnivora; Felidae
Exons: 3
Source: RefSeq, a predicted model, not a curated record